UUAAGAAUCUUGCACAAUGGGCGCAAGCCUGAUGCAGCGACGCCGCGUGAAUGAUGAAGGCCUUCGGGUUGUAAAGUUCAAUAAGCAGGGAAGAAUAAGCAACGGGUAAUAUUCGUUGUGAUGACGGUACCUGCCUAAAGCCCCGGCUAACUACGUGCCAGCAGCCGCGGUAAUACGUAUGGGGCGAGCGUUGUUCGGAAUUAUUGGGCGUAAAGGGCGUCUAGGCGGGGAAUUAAGUUAGGUGUGAAAGCCUCGGGCUCAACCCGAGAACUGCAUCUAAAACUGAUUCUCUUGAGUUCGGGAGAGGAGAGCGGAAUUCCAGGUGUAGCGGUGAAAUGCGUAGAUAUCUGGAAGAACACCAGUGGCGAAGGCGGCUCUCUGGCCUAGGACUGACGCUGAAGCGCGAAAGCGUGGGGAGCGAACA
RNAcentral lists this ribosomal RNA (424 nucleotides) under uncultured prokaryote. RNAcentral's name for it is "bacterial SSU rRNA". It matches the Rfam family "Bacterial small subunit ribosomal RNA", at positions 355 to 774 of the family's 1533-position model. The record is from RNAcentral.